Molecule: non-coding RNA, 95 nt
Organism: Lasiosphaeria miniovina
Lineage: Eukaryota; Fungi; Ascomycota; Sordariomycetes; Sordariales; Lasiosphaeriaceae
Source: the annotation of a RefSeq genome assembly
GCCCGCAUAGCUCAGUGGUAGAGCGCGUCACUAGUAAUCCCUUGAUAUAAGGAUUCGACAUGACGAGGUCUUCAGUUCGACUCUGGAUGUGGGCA